Triticum aestivum (bread wheat) is the source of this 4431-nucleotide RNA transcript. RefSeq lists it as uncharacterized. Lineage: Eukaryota; Viridiplantae; Streptophyta; Magnoliopsida; Poales; Poaceae. The transcript is spliced from 7 exons. The record is from RefSeq and is a predicted model, not a curated record.
UCUCGCACUCGCGUCGAGCCCCUCUCUUCUCUCUACCUCCGAACCCUAGCUAGACCGCGCCCACCUCCCUGCCCCGCUGUUGUUGUCUCCUCCACCCGGCCAGCCGCGGUCACUCGCGCCCGUCUCCUCCGGCCAGCCUCCGCCUGCAACCUCCCCCCUCCCGUUUUCAAAAGGGAAGGGAAGGGAAGAGAAGAGGGAGAGCGAGCGGGUCAGGCGACGGCCAUGGCCAUGGCGCUCGCAGAUCCGCCGGCCCCGUCGUUGCCGCUGCGCUCGUAGGUGAGCGGCGCCGGGAGCUGCCGUCGUGAGGAAGCCGCGGGAGGACGAGCUCAACGGCGCCCCGGGCGCUCACUUCCAAGAAGGCAAUGGAGGAGGAACUCGACCUGGACAACCGCCGCUGGACGAAGAGCCCCGAAAAAAUCCCCCAACCACCCCUGCACCACCGCCUCUUCACCUUCGACCACGGGUUGCAGCGGUCAGAGGACCAAAGUGUGGAUUCUCCUGCCCUUCCCUUUUCCUUGAUUCUCAUCUAUUCCUCCAGCCCCUCAAAUCCUUGCGUACACAGUACACACACUGUCUCUCUCAUCCCGUGGAUGGGAAUGGCCAGCGUGGAUGACGGGUCUUGCUGUUCUUUGCACGUAUUUCUGUCAGAUUUGAUUUAACUUCAUCCUCGCUAUUCAUAAUCUAUUAAUUAAUUACCUGUACAUACAUAUUUUAUCAUGUCUACUAAUAAUCUCAUCAGUUUACAGUUCAUACAUCGGGUUAUUUUAUCCUGUUUUCUUCAGGUUUGUAUUUAGGGUGUUCUUUUUUCCCUUUUCAGAUGUAUGCCAUAUGUGUAGCAAUCGUUCUAGAACACCCCCAUUCCUUCUCUUCCUAUCAAUUUAGUCAGGACCCACUUUGGACCAUUUUCAUAAACCACUCUAAACCAUUUUCUGAAAAUUGAUAGGAAGAGAGUGAUUUUCAUAACAGCAGCUGCAGCCCCCAGGGUUAAUUAGAACCUAAAAUGUUGCCUUUAGUUUGUGAAAAAGGUCUAGAGUGGUUUCUGCAGCUGCUGUUAUGUUUCAUUGAUUUAGUCCUAUAGUCGGAUAGUUCCAGUGGGUUUUACUAAAUGGUUUUGUAGAUUUAAUUAGUGAAAAGGCCUCAAUUGGUUUAUGCAAAAUUGCUUGUCUGUUGGCAGUUGAAGCAUACUUGGCAAAUGGGCCUUGCCGUGAGUCGCGGUGCAACAGUGAUCUCGAUGAGCAGGGCAAUGGUCAGAUACAAGUCAGCACCAAAGAUGACUGGAAGCACUCAAAACAGUUUACCAUGCUAGAGCUAUGUCAGGUUGUACGAGGGCAGUUAAUGAAUAUACUUGUGACACUUAUACUCUCAGCAAUGCCAACAAACAUGGUUUAUGAUGAUAUUGGUGGUCUGAAGCUUUAGAUCGUCGGGGUUGCUCUCAUUCGUUCAAUUUGCCACUGAUCCUUCCAUUCUACUGUUGUUCAUUAUUAUCAUACGAAGGCUGAUCUAUGUUCUCUAUUUGUUGGGUCCUCCGUGUCAUUAUCAACAAGGUUGGGUCUCUCUUGCUCAGUUUUUGUCUACUAAAAGGUGAUGUGAGCUGAUGUGCUUGUUUGGGCGGUCUCCCCGUGUGUGUGAUAUUUGUUUGCAUAUCAACCCUGUGUGCUUGAAAUUUGCUUGCAUAUCAUGAUAUCAAACGAGGAUGUGUUCUUGUUUACCUCUUGAAUAGACAGAUCUUGGUGCAUUACUGCUACCGUGCCUCUAGGUGGUCAGCGAGGGUCGCACUUGCGCUAUGCUUCCCUCUGGAUUCUUGCAUGGUAUUCGGGUGCCUAGCUUCGUUCAGUUAUGAGUCAAAAGUAACAAAAUCAUAUGUUUCUGAAUCUUGCAUAUACCUUACAAUGCAGCGGCCCAUUCUUGUCGUGCCUGGACUAGCUAGAUCGAUUAGAGUUUGUCUAUUAUGCCUUCGGUAAUCAGCAGCAACACACGAGAUCCUGGAACCUGCAUUAGUUAUUGUUUGCACAAUAAUUACUUACUGAUAUCAUUACCAAGCUAUCCGAGCCAUCACUCCCCGGACACCACUUGGUUUCCUUGCCCAUCUAUUCGUCGGAUCUUUACACAAUUGACAGGAUUGACUUCAGAUCUUACGAAAGGUUUCAUAAAGAUAGUUCAGAACCUAAUCUAUACAAAGUUUUACAAACGAAAUCUACACAAACUCAUGGAUUUGAAACUGAAAGAUAUUAUGUUAUGCAUCUCUCCAAAAAUCCAGCAUAAAUAUAUAGAGGGAACAUAUAUUCCCAGAAAUUUACGGUCACGGUCAAGAGCAACGGUGAGUGUGGAGCAAGCCUGUGGGAGAGUUUUUCUGAAAGCAAGCCCUCAGCACGCCCCGACAACCUUUCCCUGUCAGCUUUGCUCCCCUCUUCCUCCUGUUUGCUUAGAAUUGUUUUAUUGUCGUUCAUAUUCUGGAUUAAAUUCUGAUGAGGUUUCUGCUUGUUAGAUUAAAUUCUAGCGAAGACUAAACUGUAGCCACAAGAAGGUUGGAUUUUACUUGUUUAGUCUAAAAAAGAGUUUUUGACUUAUUUGAUUAGAUUCUAAGUCAGCUUUUGGGGGGACUUUAGAUACAAUUUGUUAGUUGGAAAAUAUAUGUGUUCUUGCGCUUGAGAAAUUGCUGCCAGUGUUACUGUAUCAUAUAUGAAUGUGUACAAGGCAUCAGAAAGCACAAGUAGCGAGAACAAUUAGUUCAGUUUUAAUAUCAUAGUUCUACUCAUCCUAAAUUGUGUUAAAUUAAUCUGCUAGACUAUGGUGAUAAUAGAGGGGCCCUAUUUUUUAAAAUUGUUUCUUUGUUCCAAUUAUAAAGGGCCCUCUGCAAGGAUAUUGAUUUCAUUAGGUGUAGAAGUUUAGUUGGACAGAUAUUGUUCAUCAGUUUCUUAGUGCGUGCCUAGUUGUUUCCCCUUUUUACAUUGCUUAUUUUCUAUAGGAUUUCUUGAAAGAUAAUAACUUGCUUCAACAAUUGUAGAAUGAUCAUGGUUUCUUUGCAUUCCUGUACUUAUAUACGAUUAACAAUUUCAUGGCUAUCCUGUGUAAGAAACAGACAUCGUUGGCAGUAGCCAAUGCAUUUGCGUUAAAUGCCCUGUUGGCUGAGUGAUGUAGUCCUAUUGUGAAGAUGCUUAUUGUUUCAUUUCUGUAAUGUAGGAACAUGUAUAUCCUUUCAAGUUCACUGAUGUGGUUACCACUACAACACACGUCCCUCCAAGGACCAAGGGUGGGCAUGAUCUUCUACAAGCAGGAUGGGCGAACGGAGACGGUGCACUUCGACAAGAUCACGGUGCAGCUCAAGAAACUCAGCUAUGGGCACUUCGACAAGAGCACUGCGACCCCGUGCUCAUCGCGCAGAAGGUCUGCGUUAGGGUAUACAUGGGUGUCACCACCAGCCAGCUCAACGAGCUCGCCGCCGAGACCGCUGCCACGCUCACCGCCUCCCAGCCUGACUAUGCCUCCCUCGCGACGAGGAUUGUUGUGUCCAACCUACCGCCAAGUAGAAAUAGUCUGUGUGGCGCUCGUAAAUAAAGAGCAUUCCUGUAGAAAGAAAUAGCAUGUUGAUUUCAUCUUGAAAUAAUCAUAGCUGAGGGAUGAGGUUCGUAACUGAGGGUCAUGUGCAGAGCUGGAGGAAGAAGUUGCGAAGCUUGGAACUCUCCUUGUGAAGGGCUCAAGGAUAGCAGUGAGGACAAUGCCUCUUUAGCUGUAAUUGUGAUACUCCUAAUGUGCGCAAGUAAACAUUCCUGUGAUACUCCUUGUGCUAAAAUGUUGGUUGUUAGUACAGAGGUGGUGACAUUAUUUGGUUCUCUUGGUAGGCAAAUUGGACAAAUUUGAACUGUGGACGAAAUCAAAUUACAGAAUGAACUACCCGUGAAACUAUUUCACGCGGUUAACCUUUUUAUGUGACGCCCGACACGAAGGCGCCACACUACAUUAUGCAACGCCUCAUAGAUUGGCGCUACACGUCUGGCCAGCGUUGCACCCCAAACUAUCUAAAAAUUGUUAAGUCAUUGUGCAGAGCCUACGAGCUAGGCACUGCACUGUAUAGUGUGGCGCCUAGCUCUCAGGCGCUGCACUAGUGGUUGCACUACAAAAUGAAACAACCACUAGUGCAACACCUAGAAGCUAGGCGCUACAUUGUAUAGUGUGGCGCCUAGCUCUCAGGCGCUGCACACUGAUUUAGUAAUUUUUGGAUCACACACGCUGGCUAGGCGUGCAGCGCCUAUCUGCGAGGCGUUGCAUAGUGUAGUGUGGCGCGUUCGUGUCGGGCGUCACACAAAAAGGUCAGCCGCGUGAAAUAGUUUCACGAGCAGUUCAUUCUGUGAUUUGAUUUCGUUUGUAGGUCAAAUUUGUCAAUUUUGCCCUCUUGGUAUUGAUUUCAUGAUUUGUGGUUAAUACAUGAUGUAA